CCGACCCGAGGGAGCCCCGGCGUCACCCGAGCCCCGCGGACAGAGCGGCGGGGACCGACUCGGCUCUUCCCGUCCGGGUGCAAAGACCCGCUCCGCCUCGGCGAUGCCCCGGGGAACCGGUGCCGGGAAUGCUCCGCCGCGAGAGAUUUCCUGCUGGGCGACGAGGGGAAGCGCCCUCGAAAUCGGCGGCACCGCCCGAUUUUAACCCUUCGAAUGCUGCAGAAGGUGGCGAUUCCUGCAAUUUAACCCCAGAACCUGAGACAACGUGGGCUGUUUACCUCCAUUUAAACUGAUACAAUAGCAAAAAAGGACGCUUUGGAGGGACUAGGAAGAUGAAAUCAAAAGGAAAAAAGGAGAAAGAUCCCCCCUGCAAAUCCAGUUCCCCCCUGCAAAUCCAUGCACCGGUUCAUCUGCUCGGCUGCUGCUGCUUGACAGAGGUUCAAAGCAGAAGUAACUGCCUAGCGAAGAACCAUGGAAACUCAUCAGCUGCAGAGACGAGCAGACGGCCCAAAGAGCAGAAGAGCGAGCACGCCGAUGUGAACCGUAUCGAGACCGCAGUUGACGGCUGAACGCCUUUGAUCCCGCGUGCGAGAGCGAUGAACAUUGGGUUUCGUGUGAAAGAGUAGGAAAAUCGAUAUUGAAAAGCCUCAUUUGUUAAAGCGUGGUGUGAACUGUGUCAAGAUUCAGAAUCCUGCAUGAGAGAUAAAGUCCUUGAAGAUGAAGGUGAAUCAGGUAUCACCCUUGAGCUGUAUCAUUUUGUUGAUCGCUUUGUGAUGCGAUUUCACCUGCAUCGCUUCUUUUAGUUAACUCAAAAGAAAGUGUAUCUUAUCUCAGUGAAAAUAGAUUUUUGUAUAAUAUUCAAUUUUUCUUUUUAUUUAGCAUGUUCUAUAUAAAGAGGCAACAUCUUAUUGUAACCUUAUAUCAAUCUUAGUCACACUUGAUUGUGAAGAGUUUGACUCAUGAAAUUUCAGAUAGAUAUUUAUAACAACUCAGCUUUCAAUUCAAGUAGUUUCAGCAGAAACUUUAAAGCAAUUAGACAAAUUAAGCUACCGGUUAAGUUAGCAACCUAGAUCUAUUUCUCUAGCUUUGAGUGGUUAGUUAACGGAUGUUCAAAACUGGAGGCAGAGCGCUCUGUAGAACAGAGCAGCAGUUCUGUUGUUGGGGCAUAGGGCUUGAGAGAAGGAAAAAUAACCCUGAGUGAAAAUUAAUCAAAGAAAAGGUUUGGGUUGAUUUUUUUUUUUCUUUUUUUAAGGAGUGGGGCAAAUGUUGGAGUCUGGAAUACAGAGUGCGUACCCUUGUUUCUGAUACUUAGUUAUAAGAUCCAGAAAAACAUUGAAUUUCAUAUAAUGUGAAAUUCAUGACCAUGUUUUCAUGGUGAUACAUGAAAACAAAUGUUAAAGUUAGAUAGAAAAAGCUAAAAGUGUAAGGGUAUAGAUUAGAAAGUUUUUUUAAAUCACUGGGUGAAAAAGUUUAGAGAACAGGAGACGAGAUGGAGGAUUUAGGGGGUUGUCUCUUGUCCCUUUUUCUUUCUUCUUCAUGUUCUUCUCAGAGAGGUCAGAGAUGUUAAGAGAGACACCAGGGUUUCUGAUAAGCCCCCGGAAGGGAUAAGGCGAGGCACGUACGACACGAGAGGUACGAAAGGCACGGGAGGCACGGUAGAAAACUGACACGACACACCCCGGGAUUGCUCUGUCCUGCGCACCUCAGCACUGUGAGCCAAAGUGAGGCUUUCCCUUGAGGUGGCCUAAGGGGCCACAGCUUGGACCUCCACAUCUCCAAAGCUGACUCAAAACCCUUGGGCACGAGUGCUGACCUAGCACACCGCUUUCAUGCCCCUCUGUAGGUCUUGGACUUCGACUUAGCUCUCAUAUGCGUGGGGACGAGAAGCCACGUGGGGCACAAGGGAAGGCCGCCUCACCGUCUGGCACGUUUCUGGCAGGCUGUUGUCUCUUGGACAGGUACAAUAAAGAAAACCAAAUAUCAGUGCAAGAUCUUAGCAGCACAUCUGUGAAAACCCAACACUCACGGUCUCCUGACAAUGGCUGGGUCCUUCGCCUGCAUGCUUCAGCCCCGCUGGGAUGCUGAGGCUUGCGGAGCGAAACUCUUCGAGCGGUAUUGCUGUGGAUCCGAACGAACCGCCGCCUCGAUGAGAUUUGGGAGCCUCCCCGGUUGCGGAUGAACGGGGACCCCGGGGUGGGCCGGGGCUGGAAACCCCUGGUUAUCCCACACAAGCGGGACCUACGUGGCCACUAUCUCUUCUCAACUGGCCCUAGAACACGGUGUACUGCCUGCACCUCUCGGGGUUCUGGCACUCUGCUGCUUUAGGAUUCCUGCCUGCAGCUGCCUCAGGGAAAUGGGAGCGCUGUUAGGGCUGCUGUUUAUGGUUGGGGGUGGGGUACAACUGUAUUCUACCAUACCUGUACCCCUUAUUUUCACUGUUUGGCCAGCCUUUUUUUUUUUUUUGGAACUCUUGUGACAGAUUGAGGGCACUGAGGAGGGACUGCCAAGAUGGAAUCAAAAGGGAAAAGCAGAAAGAUCAGCCCUGCAAAUCCACACUGGCUCACCUGUUCAGCUGCUGUUUCCUGGCAAAAAGCUUUGUCCCUCACCACCUCCUCUGAGCAAUGCUCCAGGUCCAAGUGCAUCCUGGUGCUCCCCCAGACCCUAUGAGAUGCUCUCACCGUCAUGUUGGAGUCUGAGAUACAGACUGUGUGCCCUUGUUUUUAAUAUUUAGUUCUAGGAUUCAAGGAAACACUGAAUUUCAUAUAAUAUGAAAUUCAUGUGCAUGUUUUCAUGGUGACACAUGAAAACAAAUGUUAAAGUUAGAUAGGAAAAGUGUAAAUGUGUAGAUUAGAAAGUUUCUUAAAUCACUGGGUGAAAAAGUAGUUUAGAGAACAGGAGACAAGAUGGAGGAUUUAGGGUGUUGUCUCUUGUCCUUCUUCUUUCUUCUUCAUGUUCUUCUCCUAGGGGUGUUUUGGUAGUAGUAGGUGAUUGGGUAGAAAAUGUCAGAGUGCAGCACACAGGUGUUGGGUCAUUGGGUCACUAAGAAAAAUAAUUUAGUUGGCACCUGUUAAUUGGGUAAAUGGACAUAUAAAAGACCUUGAAGAAGAUCUUUGUUAGCCAUUUUACCCCUUUUCUAUCUUCAACAGCAGUCACCCAAAAAGGGAUUUAUCUCCUGAAAAGGAGUUUCUUCCUAAAUAUAAGUUUUUAGAGUUUUUUUCUCAGAUUCAAAAACAGCCCGGCGUGGACGGGCUUGAUAGCACACAGCAGCCAGAGACGCUGUCGCCAUGACAACCACCAGUGAAACAACUCAAGCAACUUCGAUGAAGCUACAGAAAGCAACAAAACAAAAGAGAAAGAACAGAAAGCUGGACAUCUCAGAGAGGGACAAAAAAGAGAGAGUUUUAAUUGGACAAUUCAAAAAUUAGAAGCUUUGCAAAUUGUAUUGUUAGUAAAUCAGCGAAUUGUUGUAAUCAUAAUUGAGUUUUAAAAAGAAGUUUCUAUUGAAUGAAGUGCCUUCAAAAAUAGAUCAAAAAGUUUAUAGAUAUUUUAUAGUGAAAUAUAUAUAUAGAUGUUGUAUUUCUAAUAAUAUCUGCUGGUUUUGUUUUUACAAAAUAGCAUGGAAAAUGAUAUCGUUACAUCCCAAGAAAUUUAAAAGAUUUUUAUUCUGUUUCAGUAUUCCUAAUACAUGAAGGUUUUGAAAAGGUUAUCUUUUCUAUACAUCUACUGAUAAUGUAAUACUGUAUCAUGUGGAGUGAUCAUCAAGCAUUAUUACUGUAGUUACAGUCAGUUUCUGCAAGAAGCAUUUCUUUAAAAUUGAGUUAAAAGAUCAUAUGAUUAACCCUACAGAAAAAGGAUUGAAUGACAAGUUUCUUUCAUUUUUAACCUUUCCUUUCAUUUGAGUAUGUGUAUUGUGGAGUUAGUUCAAUACAGUUUUCAGUAAUUUCAAAAUUAUAUUAACCAUAUAUUACCCAUUUGCUUGGUAUCUUUUAUAAUUAGGCAAUUUUAAUGUGAAUCCUUUUGUUAUAAAAAAAAACAUGUAUAACAGCAUAUAUAUCAAUUUGGAUUUUGAAUCUUAGUUAAAAAGUUAGACUUAAUGUUUCUGAAAAGUACUACAAAAGCUGAAUAGCAAAUUACCAAAUCUGUGGUGCUGUAUUUUUUUUCUAGUGAAACUGCAUUCUAAAAAUCCUAACAAAUGUAAACAUAUACCAAGCAAAUUCUUGUUAUGAAUUGGUAUUUUUAAUAACAUCUACAAUUAUUAUGAAUUGUUCUCAAAACCAGAUAACAUAGAAUGAUGAUAAAUUUGUUACAUCCCUAUAAUCUCUAUAGUGAACCAAUAUUCCUAUUAUAUUGUGUUCAAAGAAGUGUAUACCAAAUUUUUAGUUGCUUUUUUAGUAAUAAUAGAGUAAGAUUAAGUAAUAUUUUCAUCUGAUACAGAUUAAGUGUUAAUAGAUUUAAUCAAAGUUAAAUUUCACUAUGUUUAAGUUUGAGUGUUUUUAAGUUAAGUUAUAACUUUGGUAUUUUUUAAUGUUAAGUUUUGUUACUUCCUUUUAUCAUAAUUAAUUUCUAACAGGUUUAAAUUUAGAUUGCUUUAUGUUUUAUUGAAGAUGUUUGUUUAAAUUGCAAAGUAUAGUUAUUUUUCUAAAGAGAUGAAGAUGAACACCUGCUUGUGGACAGAAGUGAAUGCAGUCAGUGCCACCUUUGACUUCAUCGAGAGUUCUAUUGUUUGUUGUUAUAUUAUUAUUGUUAUAUUGUUAUAUUGUUGAUAUAUUGUUAUUGCUAUUGUUAUAGCUUUCUUAUUUUUCAGUGUUUUCAGAAUUUUAAGAAGAUAUACCAUUGCUAAGGGUCAGCUGCCAUGAGAGAAGCUUCAGAUGAAACCAACUGCUGCAUGGUUUAAUUGAUCUGGUACCUAAGACUUCUGGUCAUUUGCUUUAUACAAAUGCUUUUUAAAAGUUUGCUGUGUUUUAAGCAUCUUAUAGUUGUUAUUUUUAAACCCCUUGCUUUGAAAAUGAGUUAGGAGACAUCUUUCCAGAUGAAGCCUAAGGCUCUGGCCAAGACUUGACUUUACCUGGAUGGAGAAUUUACCAAUAAACCCAGAAGUUUUCUGCAUCAAAACAAUAUUCAGGUCAAUUUGACUUGGCAAUUAGUGAAUUAAUAUAGCAGCUGGAUUUUACAGCGGGCUCGGAGAAUUGUUAUCCGGACAUGAUUUUCCAAUCUUCCGUUGAUUUAUCAGCAGUGACAGACUCUGGGAUGAGAGUAUAUAUUUAGUAUAUUUAGUAAUUCAUAUUACAGAUUAUUCAGAUAAGUUUAAUAUUGCAUAAUAUUAAUUAUGAAUCUUCUUAAUCAGUUUUUGAUUUCUGUAAAAGUGUUAUUUCCUAUAUGUGUAUACAUGUGCAAGUGUUUUAAUUUGAUGGUUUUUCAUUGUCAUAACAAAAAAACCAAAUACCUUACUUAAUUACAAAAAAAGGGGGGGAACCAAGGCUAUGCCUCAGAAGUAUAAAAACCUUAUAAAUCUUAAAUUUUUGGAAAAAGUGUAAAGAUCUUAUAUCUAUUGCAAACAAUUCUUGAACAGUCCUUUUUAAACAAGUCUUUUACUAAGCCAGUUCCAUCAAUUAUCAGGUAUUGUUCUAACAGUACUCAAGCAAACUUGAGAGAGAUCUCUUAAGUUCUGGUCAAAAGUUCAGAAGCAAGAAGAUUAAAAAAUCUAUUUCAAUUAAUAAUUUGGAGGAAAGUGUAUGUUUGUGUAUUCACAGGUUCAAAGCAAAAGUAACUUCCUAGCAAAGAACAUGAAAACUCAUCAGCUGCAGAGACGAGCAGACAGCCCAAAGAGCAGAAGAGCGAGCACGCUGACGUGAACUGUAUCGAGACCACAGUUGACAGCAGAACAGCUUAGAUCCAACAUGCAAGAACAGUGAACUUUGGGUUUCAUGUGAAACAGUGAGAAAGUCAAUAUUUUAAAGCCUCAUUUGUUAAAGCGUGGUGUGAACUGUGUCAAGAUUCGGAAUCUUGCAUGAGAGAUAAAGUCCUUGAAUAUGAAGGUGAAUCAAGUAUCACCCUUGAGCUGUAUCAUUUUGUUGGUCACUUUGUGAUGCAAUUUCACCUGCAUCACUUCUUUUAGUUAACUCAAAAGAAAGUAUACCUUAUCUCAGUAAAAAUAGAUUUUAGUAUAACAUCCAAUUUUUCUGUGUUAAAACAGAAUGAAGAUGAGAUAAUGAAUGGUACUCCAAAUCAUGCUCUAUACAAAGAGGCAACAUCUUAGUGUAAUCUUAUAUCAAUCUUAGUCACACCUGAUUGUGAAGAGUUUAACUUUUGAAAUUUUAGAUAGAGAUUUAUGACAACUCAGCUUUCAAUUCAAGUAGCUUCAGCAGAAACUUUAGAGCAAUUAGACAAAUUAAGCUACCGGUCAAGUAAGCAACCUAGAUCUAUUUCUCUAGCUUUGGGUAGUUGGUUAACUGAUGUUCAGAACUGGGGCCAGAGUGCUCUGUGGAACAGAGCAGCAGUUCUGUUGUUGGUGCAUAAGGCAUGAGUGAAAGAAAAAUAACCCUUCUUGAAAAUUAAUCAAAGAAAAGGUUUGGGUUGAUUUUUUUUUUUUUUUUUUUUAAGAGAGGGGCAGAUGUUGGAGUCUGAAAUACAGACUGUGUGCCCUUGCUUUUAAUUUUUAGUUCUAAGAUCCAAGAGAACACUGAAUUUCAUAUUAUAUGAAAUUCAUGAUCAUGUUUUCAUAGUGAUACAUGAAAACAAAUGCUAAAGUUAGAUAAGAAAGGUAGGUGUGUAGAUUAGAAAGUUUCUUAAAUCACUGGGUGAAAAAAGUAGUUUAGAGAACAGGAGACAAUAUGGAGGAUUUAGGGUGUUGUCUCUUGUCCUUCUUCUUUCUUCUUCAUGUUCUUCUCCUAGAGAUUUUUGGGUAGUAGUUAGUAAUUGGAUAGAAAAUGCCGCAGUGCAUCACAGAGGUGAUGGGUCAUUGGGUCAUUAAGAAAAAUAAUAUACGUGUCUAUUGUUAAUUGGGUA
Long non-coding RNA from Poecile atricapillus (Black-capped chickadee), 7005 nucleotides. RefSeq lists it as uncharacterized. The record is from RefSeq and is a predicted model, not a curated record. NCBI's taxonomy places the organism in Eukaryota, Metazoa, Chordata, Aves, Passeriformes, Paridae. The transcript has 3 exons.